RNAcentral lists this ribosomal RNA (253 nucleotides) under uncultured bacterium. Its description in RNAcentral is "partial 16S ribosomal RNA". It matches the Rfam family "Bacterial small subunit ribosomal RNA", at positions 524 to 776 of the family's 1533-position model. The record is from RNAcentral.
UACGUAGGGUGCAGGCGUUAAUCGGAAUUACUGGGCGUAAAGGGCGCGUAGGCGGCCUUCUAAGUCGAACGUGAAAUCCCCGGGCUCAACCCGGGAACUGCGUCCGAUACUGGAAGGCUUGAAUCCGGGAGAGGGAUGCGGAAUUCCAGGUGUAGCGGUGAAAUGCGUAGAUAUCUGGAGGAACACCGGUGGCGAAGGCGGGACUCUGGGCCGAUACUGACGCUGAGGAGCGAAAGCGUGGGGAGCGAACAGG